GACGAACGCUGGCGGCGUGCUUAACACAUGCAAGUCGAACGGAAAGGCCCUGCUUUUGUGGGGUGCUCGAGUGGCGAACGGGUGAGUAACACGUGAGUAACCUGCCCUUGACUUUGGGAUAACUUCAGGAAACUGGGGCUAAUACCGGAUAGGAGCUCCUGCUGCAUGGUGGGGGUUGGAAAGUUUCGGCGGUUGGGGAUGGACUCGCGGCUUAUCAGCUUGUUGGUGGGGUAGUGGCUUACCAAGGCUUUGACGGGUAGCCGGCCUGAGAGGGUGACCGGCCACAUUGGGACUGAGAUACGGCCCAGACUCCUACGGGAGGCAGCAGUGGGGAAUAUUGCACAAUGGGCGGAAGCCUGAUGCAGCAACGCCGCGUGCGGGAUGACGGCCUUCGGGUUGUAAACCGCUUUCGCCUGUGACGAAGCGUGAGUGACGGUAAUGGGUAAAGAAGCACCGGCUAACUACGUGCCAGCAGCCGCGGUGAUACGUAGGGUGCGAGCGUUGUCCGGAUUUAUUGGGCGUAAAGGGCUCGUAGGUGGUUGAUCGCGUCGGAAGUGUAAUCUUGGGGCUUAACCCUGAGCGUGCUUUCGAUACGGGUUGACUUGAGGAAGGUAGGGGAGAAUGGAGUUCCUGGUGGAGCGGUGGAAUGCGCAGAUAUCAGGAGGAACACCAGUGGCGAAGGCGGUUCUCUGGGCCUUUCCUGACGCUGAGGAGCGAAAGCGUGGGGAGCGAACAGGCUUAGAUACCCUGGUAGUCCACGCUGUAAACGGUGGGUACUAGGUGUGGGGUCCAUUCCACGGGUUCCGUGCCGUAGCUAACGCUUUAAGUACCCCGCCUGGGGAGUACGGCCGCAAGGCUAAAACUCAAAGGAAUUGACGGGGCCCCGCACAAGCGGCGGAGCAUGCGGAUUAAUUCGAUGCAACGCGUAGAACCUUACCUGGGUUUGACAUGGAUCGGGAGCGCUCAGAGAUGGGUGUGCCUCUUUUGGGGUCGGUUCACAGGUGGUGCAUGGCUGUCGUCAGCUCGUGUCGUGAGAUGUUGGGUUAAGUCCCGCAACGAGCGCAACCCUUGUUCACUGUUGCCAGCACGUUAUGGUGGGGACUCAGUGGAGACCGCCGGGGUCAACUCGGAGGAAGGUGGGGAUGACGUCAAGUCAUCAUGCCCCUUAUGUCCAGGGCUUCACGCAUGCUACAAUGGCUGGUACAGAGAGUGGCGAGCCUGUGAGGGUGAGCGAAUCUCGGAAAGCCGGUCUCAGUUCGGAUUGGGGUCUGCAACUCGACCUCAUGAAGUCGGAGUCGCUAGUAAUCGCAGAUCAGCAACGCUGCGGUGAAUACGUUCCCGGGGCU
RNAcentral lists this ribosomal RNA (1346 nucleotides) under uncultured bacterium. RNAcentral describes it as "bacterial SSU rRNA". It matches the Rfam family "Bacterial small subunit ribosomal RNA", at positions 28 to 1381 of the family's 1533-position model. The record is from RNAcentral.